GAUGAACGCUGGCGGCGUGCCUAAUACAUGCCAGUCGAGCGAACAGACGAGGAGCUUGCUCCUCUGACGUUAGCGGCGGACGGGUGAGUAACACGUGGAUAACCUACCUAUAAGACUGGGAUAACUUCGGGAAACCGGAGCUAAUACCGGAUAAUAUAUUGAACCGCAUGGUUCAAUAGUGAAAGACGGUUUUGCUGUCACUUAUAGAUGGAUCCGCGCCGCAUUAGCUAGUUGGUAAGGUAACGGCUUACCAAGGCAACGAUGCGUAGCCGACCUGAGAGGGUGAUCGGCCACACUGGAACUGAGACACGGUCCAGACUCCUACGGGAGGCAGCAGUAGGGAAUCUUCCGCAAUGGGCGAAAGCCUGACGGAGCAACGCCGCGUGAGUGAUGAAGGUCUUCGGAUCGUAAAACUCUGUUAUUAGGGAAGAACAAAUGUGUAAGUAACUAUGCACGUCUUGACGGUACCUAGUCAGAAAGCCACGGCUAACUACGUG
Molecule: ribosomal RNA, 497 nt
Filed under: uncultured bacterium
Lineage: Bacteria
Description: partial 16S ribosomal RNA
Rfam family: Bacterial small subunit ribosomal RNA
Source: RNAcentral